RNAcentral lists this ribosomal RNA (253 nucleotides) under uncultured bacterium. Its description in RNAcentral is "partial 16S ribosomal RNA". It matches the Rfam family "Bacterial small subunit ribosomal RNA", at positions 524 to 776 of the family's 1533-position model. The record is from RNAcentral.
CACGUAGGGGCCAAGCGUUGUCCGGAUUUAUUGGGCGUAAAGCGCGCGUAGGCGGCUAGAUCAGUCUGCUGUAAAAGUCAAAGGCUCAACCUUUGAAAGCCGGUGGAUACUGUCUAGCUAGAGUCCGGAAGAGGCGAGUGGAAUUCCUGGUGUAGCGGUGGAAUGCGCAGAUAUCAGGAGGAACACCAACGGCGAAGGCAGCUCGCUGGGACGGUACUGACGCUAAGGCGCGAAAGCGUGGGGAGCGAACAGG